GACCGGCGCACGGGUGCGUAACGCGUAUGCAAUCUACCUUGUACAGGGGAAUAGCCCAGAGAAAUUUGGAUUAAUGCCCCAUAGUAUAUUUGAGUGGCAUCAUUUAAAUAUUAAAGUUGAGGCGGUACAAGAUGAGCAUGCGUCCCAUUAGCUAGUUGGUAUGGUAACGGCAUACCAAGGCAAUGAUGGGUAGGGGUCCUGAGAGGGAGAUCCCCCACACUGGUACUGAGACACGGCCCAGACUCCUACGGGAGGCAGCAGUGGGGAAUAUUGGGCAAUGGACGCAAGUCUGACCCAGCGACGCCGCGUGCGGGAUGAAGGCCUUCGGGUUGUAAACCGCUUUCAGCAGGGAAGAAGCGAAAGUGACGGUACCUGCAAAAGAAGCACCGGCUAACUAUGUGCCAGCAGCCGCGGUAAUACAUAGGGUGCAAGCGUUGUCCGGAAUUAUUGGGCGUAAAGAGUUCGUAGGUGGUUCGUUACGUCGGAUGUGAAAAUCUGGGGCUCAACCCCAGACCUGCAUUCGAUACGGGCGAGCUAGAGUUUGGUAGGGGAGACUGGAAUUCCUGGGGUAACGGUGGAAUGCGCAGAUUUCCAGAGGAACACCAAUGGCGAAAGCAGGUCUCUGGGCCAAUACUGACACUUGAGGAACGAAAGCGUGGGGAGCGAAACAGGAUUAGAUACCCUGGGUAGUCCACGCCGUAAAAGGUGGGCGCUUGUUGUGGGGGACCUUCCCACGGUUUCUGCCACGCAGGCUAACCCAUUAA
This 764-nucleotide ribosomal RNA is filed under the name uncultured Actinomycetes bacterium. Its description in RNAcentral is "bacterial SSU rRNA". It matches the Rfam family "Bacterial small subunit ribosomal RNA", at positions 93 to 863 of the family's 1533-position model. Lineage: Bacteria; Bacillati; Actinomycetota; Actinomycetes. The record is from RNAcentral.